RNAcentral lists this ribosomal RNA (433 nucleotides) under uncultured bacterium. Its description in RNAcentral is "bacterial SSU rRNA". It matches the Rfam family "Bacterial small subunit ribosomal RNA", at positions 29 to 477 of the family's 1533-position model. The record is from RNAcentral.
AGCGAACGUUUGCGGCGGGCUUAACACAUGCAAGUCGAACGAGAAUCCCUUCGGGGAGGAAAGUGGCGCACGGGUGCGUAACACGUGGAUAACCUACCCAUUGGUUUGGGACAACACCGGGAAACUGGUGCUAAUACCAGAUGUGUCGCAGCUGUCUUCAGGCGGUUGCGAGAAAGGCCCGCAAGGGUCGCCAACGGACGGGUCCGCGUCCCAUCAGCUAGUUGGUGAGGUAAUGGCUCACCAAGGCAAAGACGGGUAGCUGGUCUGAGAGGAUGAUCAGCCACACUGGAACUGAGACACGGUCCAGACUCCUACGGGAGGCAGCAGUGGGGAAUAUUGCGCAAUGGGCGAAAGCCUGACGCAGCCACGCCGCGUGAGCGAUGAAGGUCUUCGGAUCGUAAAGCUCUGUGGGGGAGGAAGAAGAAAGACGGUC